UGUUUUCUUCACCUUAGUAAGAUAUUUUGUAGCCUCGGUUUCAAGUCCGGAUUUCAAGCACAGCUCCAAGAAUUUGAAUUUGUACCUCGGGUCAAGAAUGACUGGAAGACAAAUGCUCAAGUACGACAGUUUCCAGUAUUUCAUGAACUUGGUCUUCAUCACUUGAACCAUAGAUCUAAUGGCAGCUUCCUCAUUGUUUGCCUCUCUUUCCAAGGCUGACAUGUGUAUGACGUAUCUUGCAACUUCAAAGCGGCAAAUGCCUUCCUAUACUCUAAAGCUGUCUUGAUCAUCAGAUGAGUGGAAUUCCACCUUGUAGCAACAUCUAAAGUAACUUUCUUUUUACAUUUGAUUCCCUCCUGUA
Molecule: long non-coding RNA, 361 nt
Organism: Lolium rigidum
Lineage: Eukaryota; Viridiplantae; Streptophyta; Magnoliopsida; Poales; Poaceae
Exons: 2
Source: RefSeq, a predicted model, not a curated record